GACCUCGAUCAGUAGUAUGACCUCC
Molecule: ribosomal RNA, 25 nt
Filed under: Trichoderma harzianum
Lineage: Eukaryota; Fungi; Ascomycota; Sordariomycetes; Hypocreales; Hypocreaceae
Description: partial 28S ribosomal RNA
Source: RNAcentral